Molecule: long non-coding RNA, 811 nt
Organism: Alnus glutinosa
Lineage: Eukaryota; Viridiplantae; Streptophyta; Magnoliopsida; Fagales; Betulaceae
Exons: 2
Source: RefSeq, a predicted model, not a curated record
UUUCUUCUUUCUUCUUCCUUCUUCGUUACUUUUUUCUUUCUUCUUCUAUUAUUCUUCUCUCUUCUUCUUUCUUCCUGAGCACACAGACACACACAGAGGGAGAAACAAGAGAGUGAGAACGGGAGAGAGAGAAGAGAGCUCAAAGUGAGAGAGUUGAGAGAGUGAGAUGCCGAGAGAGAAUCAGAGAGAGAGAAGAGACAUUGACCGAGAGAGGGAGAGAAACCGAAGCUGAGUCCGGGAGAAGCCGGAGAAGACCCAACCGGAGGCCGAGCUUCAGGUGGAGCCAGAGGACCCGACGGACCCAGACCCGAUUUCCGGCGAGUAGUGGCGUGAUUUCCGGUGGGUUUUCUAUGGGUAGUUGGAGGAGGCGAUUUCCGGCGAGACAAGCCGAUUUCCGGCGGGCUCAGGUGUUUUCCGGCCUAACCCAUAACCCCGAACCCAGCAAGGCCGUGACCCGUAACCCAGAACUCGUGACCCGUAAGUGCAAAACCCGACCGACCCAGCAAAACCGAAGAAGACCCGAUCGAUGGUGGCCAACGCUGGCGAUUUUCCGGCGACCCAAGCCUGUUUUUCCGGCGGUUCAGUGAGGAAUUUCCGGCAAUUCCUAGUGGAUUUUAUGUGAAAUUUCUAAGAUGACAGCAGUAAGACGAAGUCUUUUCCUUGUAAGGGCAUAGACCUCGCUGAGAGCGAUAGUUCGUGAUGAACCGGCCAAACCCUAGUUUUGUAUAGUAUGUUUUGUUCUUUUUGGAGUUCAUGACCUUGUAAAGAAUUAUUAAUAGAAAGGUUUAAUAAAAUAGGAGAUUUAAAUUUA